Molecule: ribosomal RNA, 253 nt
Filed under: uncultured bacterium
Lineage: Bacteria
Description: partial 16S ribosomal RNA
Rfam family: Bacterial small subunit ribosomal RNA
Source: RNAcentral
UACGUAGGGUGCAAGCGUUGUCCGGAAUUAUUGGGCGUAAAGCGCGCGUAGGCGGCGCGGUAUGUCGUGCGUGAAAUCUCCCGGCUUAACUGGGAGGGGCCGUGCGAAACUGCCGGGCUUGAGGUCGGAAGGGGAAAGUGGAAUUCCGGGUGUAGUGGUGGAAUACGUAGAUAUCCGGAGGAACACCAGCGGCGAAGGCGGCUUUCUGGUCCGAUACUGACGCUGAGGUGCGAAAGCGUGGGGAGCGAUCCGG